Long non-coding RNA from Daphnia magna, 1511 nucleotides. RefSeq lists it as uncharacterized. The record is from RefSeq and is a predicted model, not a curated record. The transcript is spliced from 2 exons. Lineage: Eukaryota; Metazoa; Arthropoda; Branchiopoda; Diplostraca; Daphniidae.
UCUUUGUAUUUUUAUUGUUUUACAAACAAAUUAUAGCAAAGUAAUAACCCUGUCAAAGACGGGAUGCACUUAGUUUGCAUUCUGCACUGUAAUAUCCUCAUAUGGAAGUCAUAAUGCAACUCGCUGGGUUUCAAUCAGACACAUUCCGAGGUCAAUCAGAGAGAUUCCCACGGUAUCAGGUAUUGCACAAUGAAAAUGCAUAAUUACCACACAAGUGCUGGUUGAUGAGCAUGCGACUGCCUCAAGUAAGCAUCAAUCUAAUCAUAGAAAGCGACGAUAUAUGUUAGCGGUGGUGGCUCAGUUGGCAGCGCUGCUGAGAGCGAAAGAGAUCACUUGCUCAUCUCAGGUUCGAUCCGCACAUUAUCCGAAAUCACUUUCAUCUCAGUAAUAUGCACUUCAAAAUGCGUACAAUGUUUACAAAUGACAUUGCAUGUUAUUUCAGUUGCAAACAUCAUUUCAUUCCGAACCAUUGGCCAACAUGUAAAUAAGUUGGUUCACACUGAUACUGAAUGAACAUUUGUUUUACGCCCUAUCGCAAUUAUCAAACAAAUUUGAAAUUGUUUAUGUAUUGGCUACAUCUAUUCUUUAAAAUUCCUCCCGUCAACGAAGGAGGAAGAAGCUCGUACACUUUACAUCAUCGUUCAAUUGUUUGUUUUUUUUCUUUCUGUAAUGUAAUGCUAAUUCAUGCUGCGCUUUCCAUGAAUGCAAAACUCAAUAUCUCCGUCAUUCAGUGGAGGUAGGUACUCUCUUUAAAUUUUUUUGUUUUACAAACAAAUUAUAAUAAAGUAAUAACCAUGCAACAAACGGGAUGCACUUGAUGCGCAUUCUGCUCUGUAAUGUCCUUAUAUGGAAGUCAGAAUGCAACUCGUUGGGCUUCAAUCAGGCACAUUUCUGUGGCAAUGAACGAUUCCAUUCUGGGACAGACGUUUACAAUCCCGUUUGCAUCACGCAACUCGUUCAACUAGCCUACUAAAUUUCUUCGGGUUUUUGGUUCGUCCAAUUUGUUUCUCCGAGUGGGAAAAAUAAUUCCUGGAUUGUGUGCGUUUUUUCCGGUUGCGUUUCUGGUGCAAGAGAAAAUUAAUGAUCAGUGUACUCCGAUUGCCUAAUUUCUCGCGUGAUAACUGCAAUCUCGCAGUUGCUAGAAAUCCGGUUGAGACCAGUCAACACAAUCAACGAGACGCGUGAUUGGAUGUCGUCGUAACCAAACAUAAAUAUUCUAUUCACACCGCCCAAAAUUUAAAAGCUACCCCCCCUCCCCUGUAUGAUGUGGAUUGCAGCGAUUUGUAACAAAAUUUGUUUUAAAUAUUCAUUGAAUAUUUAUACAGUGAUAUUCUCCAGUCUCAACCUGAAAACUAUACCCAUUUCUAAAAACGUCUUUUGACUGCUGAAUCGAAAGAAUCGACCGAAUCACGCGAAUCACACGACUGACGAUCAAUCAAACAGAUCCAAGGUUGUCAAAUCAGGUUGUUCAAUUGUAGAAACCUUAAAAAAUAAAAGAGAAAAAAUGAAAA